GUGGGGAAUUUUGGACAAUGGGGGCAACCCUGAUCCAGCCAUGCCGCGUGCGGGAAGAAGGCCUUCGGGUUGUAAACCGCUUUUGUCAGGGAAGAAAUCCUUUGGGUUAAUACCUCGGAGGGAUGACGGUACCUGAAGAAUAAGCACCGGCUAACUACGUGCCAGCAGCCGCGGUAAUACGUAGGGUGCGAGCGUUAAUCGGAAUUACUGGGCGUAAAGCGUGCGCAGGCGGUUUUGUAAGAUCGAUGUGAAAUCCCCGGGCUCAACCUGGGAACUGCAUUGGUGACUGAAAGGCUGGAGUGCGGCAGAGGGGGAUGGAAUUCCGCGUGUAGCAGUGAAAUGCGUAGAUAUGCGGAGGAACACCGAUGGCGAAGGCAAUCCCCUGGGCCUGCACUGACGCUCAUGCACGAAAGCGUGGGGAGCAAACAGGAUUAGAAACCCUAGUAGUCC
RNAcentral lists this ribosomal RNA (450 nucleotides) under uncultured bacterium. RNAcentral's name for it is "bacterial SSU rRNA". It matches the Rfam family "Bacterial small subunit ribosomal RNA", at positions 354 to 796 of the family's 1533-position model. The record is from RNAcentral.